GCUUGUUUUUGUGUUUACAGCAUACAUGUACUAUAUACUUUGUCUAUAAUUGAAAAUAUUGUGUCUUUUUUGGUGGGUUUGAAUUUUUUUUUUUUUUUGCUUGUUAUUUUCAAGUAAGAAUCAGCUAACAAUCAGGGGAUGUAGCUUUUUUUAAAUUAUAACGAGUUUCAUAUCUGCUUAUGGAUGAUGCUGAACCUAUCCAUCUUGGGCUAGCGGUGCCCUGUUCUUUGUCUCUCUGCUUUAUCAUUUAUGUAUUAAAUGACUUUAUUUUGCCUCUGAUGAUGAUCAAUAAAUAACUUUCGUUCUUCCGAGAUGCUCCAUGCGGAAAAAAUUUGGAGACCUGAACUGAAGAGGAUUUUUUUUUCGCUGUUGUUGUGUAUUUACACUAUAUAUAUGUAUAUACAAUUAUGCUUUGAAUACGUACUGUAUUUGAACAUAUUUCGUGCCCCUGUUGCGUAUGUUGUUUAGACUAUUGAGGUUCUUUAGAGGUAUUUUAUAUUUUAAUGGAGUAUUCGAUAAUGAUGCUUGAACCCUUUAAUUAACAACUUCUAAAGUAGUGUAGUUAAACGGAUUGGAUAUCAAUUAGGUGUGUUAGGUUUUAGCAUGGGGUCACUAGCUUGUGUCCACCAUUUGUUACUUUGAGUGAUAGGGUUCGAUUGACAAAUAAUAUCCAGUAAAGUUCACAGUGAAGAGUUCUCUUCUCAUUAGUGCAAGGUAGAUUACUUUAUAUACUUUUUUGCAAUAGUAUUUGCCACAUUGAAAUUAUUUUCUUACACCCACAUGGUCAGCCUUCAACUUUUAGAAACCUGAAUUUGUGGACUUAACCUUUAUAUCGACAGCAGCGAGUUGCAUAAAAGAUCUUCUUUUGCUUCUAAUGAUAUUUCUGAUGAAACUUUCAUUUUCCUGAGCUUCUUAGUGCUGAAAAUCUGGAUACCUGAGCUGAUUAGUCUGUUCUUAUAAUGAGUAUCAAAGAUCAUACUCACUGAGGUUCUCGUCAAAACAGGAAGCUCCUUGGCCAUGUGAGAGCACUUGAUGGACAUUGCAACAUGGUUCUCGAAAAAUGGCAGGGAGAUGUGGACUGAGGUAGCAAAAACUGGAAAAAGCAAGAAAAAGGCUCAAGCAGUUAACAAAGAUAGAUUCAUUACUAAGAUGUAUGGUGGCAUUGUCCACUAUAAAGAUAUGCAGAAAUCGAUGCUUAAAAUCGUAGUGCUUGGCUGGGAAUUUAACUACCCUUUUUAGAACAACUUUCCAGUGGCAUACUUUGUACAUCCCCUCUUACCCCAAAAAAAAAAAUGUCAGUUUGAAUUGGAAUCGCGCUUUUGCGGCUCUAUUCUAUCAGAAGGAUGAGUUUUGAGACAAUUUAAGCAUUGUUGUGAUUUCCCUUCUCUGUAAUUAUUGUAUCGUAUUCUGUCUUUAUUUUUGUGUGGUAAUCUUUCACUUGAGACCUCGCCUAGCAUUUUGUGGAAGAGAAGUACCACUAACACCGAUAGCUAGAAUGGUAAGUAAUAAUGGACUCGCGCCUUUGAUACA
Molecule: long non-coding RNA, 1530 nt
Organism: Prunus dulcis (almond)
Lineage: Eukaryota; Viridiplantae; Streptophyta; Magnoliopsida; Rosales; Rosaceae
Exons: 3
Source: RefSeq, a predicted model, not a curated record